This 251-nucleotide ribosomal RNA is filed under the name uncultured bacterium. RNAcentral's name for it is "partial 16S ribosomal RNA". It matches the Rfam family "Bacterial small subunit ribosomal RNA", at positions 78 to 334 of the family's 1533-position model. The record is from RNAcentral.
CUUUUGCUGGCGACCGGCGCACGGGUGAGUAACACGUAUCCAACCUGCCGAUAACUCGGGGAUAGCCUUUCGAAAGAAAGAUUAAUACCCGAUAGCAUAAUGAUUCCGCAUGGUUUCAUUAUUAAAGGAUUCCGGUAAAGGAUGGGGAUGCGUUCCAUUAGGUUGUUGGUGAGGUAACGGCUCACCAAGCCUUCGAUGGAUAGGGGUUCUGAGAGGAAGGUCCCCCACAUUGGAACUGAGACACGGUCCAA